AUUGCAAUAAACGGCUACCUUGCCAUAACUGUGGUAAUUCUACAGCUAAUACAUGCACCAAAGCUCCGACCUUACGGGAAGAGCGCAUUUAUUCGAACAAAACCAAGCGGCUUCGGCCGUCCGCAGUUGACUCAGAAUAACUAAGCUGAUCGCAUGGUCUUGAACCGGCGACGUGUCUUUCAAGUAUCUGCCUUAUCAACUUUCGAUGGUAGUGUAUCUGACUACCAUGGUGGUGACGGGUAACGGAGGAUAAGGGUUCGACUCCGGAGAAGGGGCCUGAGAAAUGGCCACUACGUCUAAGGAUGGCAGCAGGCGCGCAAAUUACCCACUCUCAGAAUGAGGAGGUAGUGACGAGAAAUAACGAGACCGUUCUCUACGAGGCCGGUCAUCGGAAUGGGUACAAUUUAAACCCUUUAACGAGUAUCUAUGAGAGGGCAAGUCUGGUGCCAGCAGCCGCGGUAAUUCCAGCUCUCAAAAUGCAUAGAAUUAUUGCUGCGGUUAAAAAGCUCGUAGUUGGAUCUGUGCCGGUGGACCCGGUCCACUCGAAAGGGUGCGCACUGGGCUCCCCGGCUUUCUGCCGGUUUUCCCGUCGUGGCCUUAACUGGUUGCGGCGGGUGGCUGGCGAUUUUACUUUGAACAAAUCAGAGUGCUUAAAACAGGCGUUUCGCUUGAAUGUUCGUGCAUGGAAUAAUAGAAAAGGAUUUCGGUUCUAUUUUAUUGGUUUUAUAGACUGAGAUAAUGGUUAACAGAGACAAACGGGGGCAUUCGUAUUGCUGCGUGAGAGGUGAAAUUCUUGGACCGCAGCAAGACGAACUACAGCGAAAGCAUUUGCCAAGAAUGUCUUCAUUAAUCAAGAACGAAAGUCAGAGGUUCGAAAGCGAUCAGAAAAUACCGCCCAA
RNAcentral lists this ribosomal RNA (899 nucleotides) under Amplimerlinius paraglobigerus. RNAcentral describes it as "SSU rRNA". It matches the Rfam family "Eukaryotic small subunit ribosomal RNA", at positions 122 to 1022 of the family's 1831-position model. Lineage: Eukaryota; Metazoa; Nematoda; Chromadorea; Rhabditida; Merliniidae. The record is from RNAcentral.